This is a non-coding RNA of Podarcis lilfordi (Lilford's wall lizard), 68 nucleotides long. Lineage: Eukaryota; Metazoa; Chordata; Lepidosauria; Squamata; Lacertidae. The record is from the annotation of a GenBank genome assembly.
GGAGGCUUAGUGGUAGAGCAUCUGCAUUGCAUGGCAGAAGGUCUUGGGUUCGAUUCCUGGCAUCUCCA